Molecule: ribosomal RNA, 798 nt
Filed under: uncultured Glomus
Lineage: Eukaryota; Fungi; Glomeromycota; Glomeromycetes; Glomerales; Glomeraceae
Description: SSU rRNA
Rfam family: Eukaryotic small subunit ribosomal RNA
Source: RNAcentral
AUCAACUUUCGAUGGUAGGAUAGAGGCCUACCAUGGUGNNAACGGGUAACGGGGUGUUAGGGCACGACACCGGAGAGGGAGCCUGAGAAACGGCUACCACAUCCAAGGAUGGCAGCAGGCGCGCAAAUUACCCAAUCCCGACACGGGGAGGUAGUGACAAUAAAUAACAAUACGGGGUUCUUUCGGAUUUCGUAAUUGGAAUGAGUACAAUUUAAAUCUCUUAACGAGGAACAAUUGGAGGGCAAGUCUGGUGCCAGCAGCCGCGGUAAUUCCAGCUCCAAUAGCGUAUAUUAAAGUUGCUGCAGUUAAAAAGCUCGUAGUUGAAUUUCGGGACCAUCAUGUCGGUCGUGCCUCGGUACGUACUGGCAUUGUUGGUUUCUCCCUUCUGACGAACCAUGAUGUCAUUUAUUUGGUGUUAUGGGGAAUUAGGACUGUUACUUUGAAAAAAUUAGAGUGUUUAAAGCAGGCUCACGCUUGAAUACAUUAGCAUGGAAUAAUGAAAUAGGACGUUUGAUUCUAUUUUGUUGGUUUCUAGGAUCGACGUAAUGAUUAAUAGGGAUAGUUGGGGGCAUUAGUAUUCAAUUGUCAGAGGUGAAAUUCUUGGAUUUAUUGAAGACUAACUACUGCGAAAGCAUUUGCCAAGGAUGUUUUCAUUAAUCAAGAACGAAAGUUAGGGGAUCGAAGACGAUCAGAUACCGUCGUAGUCUUAACCAUAAACUAUGCCGACUAGGGAUCGGAUGAUGUUAAUUUUUUAAUGACUCAUUCGGCGCCUUACGGGAAACCAAAGUGUUUGGGUUC